This 72-nucleotide transfer RNA is filed under the name Bradypus variegatus (Brown-throated sloth). RNAcentral describes it as "tRNA-Phe". It matches the Rfam family "tRNA". From Rfam's summary of the family: Transfer RNA (tRNA) molecules are approximately 80 nucleotides in length. Their secondary structure includes four short double-helical elements and three loops (D, anti-codon, and T loops). Further hydrogen bonds mediate the characteristic L-shaped molecular structure. tRNAs have two regions of fundamental functional importance: the anti-codon, which is responsible for specific mRNA codon recognition, and the 3' end, to which the tRNAs corresponding amino acid is attached (by aminoacyl-tRNA synthetases). tRNAs cope with the degeneracy of the genetic code in two manners: having more than one tRNA (with a specific anti-codon) for a particular amino acid; and 'wobble' base-pairing, i.e. permitting non-standard base-pairing at the 3rd anti-codon position. The record is from RNAcentral. Lineage: Eukaryota; Metazoa; Chordata; Mammalia; Pilosa; Bradypodidae.
GUUGAUGUCGCUUAAAUAUUAAAGCAAGGCACUGAAAAUGCCUAGAUGAGCCCUGCAUAACUCCAUAAACAC